UACGGGAGGCAGCAGUGGGGAAUAUUGCACAAUGGGCGAAAGCCUGAUGCAGCUAUGCCGCGUGUAUGAAGAAGGCCUUAGGGUUGUAAAGUACUUUCAUCGGGGAGGAAAAAACAAAAACUAAUAAUUUUAUUUUCUUGACGUUACCCGAAAAAGAAGCACCGGCUAACUCCGUGCCAGCAGCCGCGGUAAUACGGAGGGUGCUAGCGUUAAUCAGAAUUACUGGGCGUAAAGGGCACGUAGGUGGUUUUUUAAAGUUCAGAUGUGAAAUCCCUGGGCUUAACCUAGGAACUGCAUUUUGAAACUGAAAUACUAGAGUAUCGUAGAGGGAGGUAGAAUUCUAGGUGUAGCGGUGAAAUGCGUAGAUAUCUGGAGGAAUACCUGUGGCGAAAGCGGCCUCCUAAACGAAUACUGACACUGAGGGUGCGAAAGCGUGGGGAGCAAACAGGGAUUAGAUACC
This 460-nucleotide ribosomal RNA is filed under the name uncultured bacterium. Its description in RNAcentral is "bacterial SSU rRNA". It matches the Rfam family "Bacterial small subunit ribosomal RNA", at positions 340 to 786 of the family's 1533-position model. The record is from RNAcentral.